Bos taurus (domestic cattle) is the source of this 1346-nucleotide long non-coding RNA. NCBI's taxonomy places the organism in Eukaryota, Metazoa, Chordata, Mammalia, Artiodactyla, Bovidae. The record is from Ensembl.
AGACGAAGGAAGGGCUGCAGGGCUCCUUUUCAUCCAUGGCAUGUCAGUGCCCAGUCAGUCCGUGAGCAGGGACAAGGGAAAGAAGCCACGGUGCCCCCAGCACCCAGCUCCUGGGAGGAUGGGGCGGGACUCUGGCCAGAGAGGAGCCCUGUCCAAAGGACGGCUGAUGCCCCCAGACGCUGCUUCAUCCUGGCUCUGGGGCCCGACCUGGGCCUGCAUCGCAUCCCUGCUGGAGUCUGUCCCACUAGGGUGGAUACUUUUCAAAGAGAAACAGCUCUGCUUUCUGAUACUCAGGAAAGAAAAGGCCUGAACAGGAAUAAUCCAUGAACUGUCAAAAGACACUUGGCUUUUGAAACUAAAUUCUAGCUACACUGGAAAACUGAACAGAAUUAUCAGAGUGGAACCUAUUACCACGGUACAACUGAACAUUCCUUCUAUCAGACACUGAAUGGAGGCUAAAUGCUGCCUGAACCCUCAGGCGCUGGGAGAUGCGAACAGACAGCAGGCCUGGCCUGGCUGCAGGACAGAGACGUUUCACUGUAAAGCAGGGAAUGGCCUCACUAAUGUCCUUAAAAAGCUUAAAGGUUACAGGUUUCUUCAAAGGAACCCCGGACAUGAAUCCAGUUCCCACUUAAGACAUGUCCACAGCUCUGGCCACCUCCAUGUUACAGAAGUCAGGCAUGUUCCUGCAAAAUGAAAGAUGGCCAUACAGGAAGUGAGGUAUGGCAACACUGAGACGCCCCAGGACGCUGGAGGCCUGGUUCCAGCUGUCACUUGCCUCUCUGUGACUCUGUUACUGAAGUCAUUUGGGACUGAAAAACGCAAAACUCAGAAUAAGGGCUUACUGCCUAGUGACCAAACGCCUCUAUGCUUGUUUAAAUCGAGUGUCAGAAGUGCCCUGGGGAGCGUAUAAGACUGAGCAAGCUCGGCUCCUGGGGCGGCAGGGGGUCGCGGCUCAGUGUCCAUGGGGGCCGGACGCCUGGGCUGUGCUCCUGUCGCCCUGCUCACGGUUCAGUCUCGGGCAGUUCACCUAACCUCUCUGUGGCGGCCUCCUCGUCUCUAAGACAGGGGUGAUGACGGUACCUAAAUGUCUAGCGCUGCGCCUGUAUACGCCAGGGACUCUUCAACGCUGGAUACGAAACGGCCAAACCAUGCUGUGCGUCUGUUCACGCGCUUUACGAGUGAGCUGUGAUCGCUAACCCCAGGCCCUCAUUUCUAAGAUCUGCAAAGCACGCAUACAACCUUCCUGCAGUUGGCCCUCAGUUACCCUACGAGGCUCUUAACAGGGGAGCCUAUUCCCUCCUCCGGCUCCUCACCGCUGACGACGGGGAGGGCCCUGCACUUGC